Sycon ciliatum is the source of this 1828-nucleotide RNA transcript. RefSeq lists it as uncharacterized. The transcript has 4 exons. The record is from RefSeq and is a predicted model, not a curated record. Lineage: Eukaryota; Metazoa; Porifera; Calcarea; Leucosolenida; Sycettidae.
CCCAGUUUUGAACCAAUCCGCAACAGGCACGUUAGACCCAGCUUUGAACCAAUCCGCAACAAGCACGUUAGCCCCAGCUUUGAACCAAUCCGCGACAAGCAUGUUGAACCAAUCCGCAACAAGCACGUUAGCCCCAUUAUCAGAUGGUGGUGCAGACCCAACGUCAUCUGUGCCUGAUAUCGGGGAAACCCCCGCCCAAUCCGACUCAGUUAUGAGUACUGGGAGCACGACAACUUUCAACAGCACCUUGGAUAUUCCUAGUGGAAAGUCUCGUUUAGCCGGUGGUCAAGUCGCAGGAUUGGUCAUCGGCACCUUGCUGCUGGUCGCAUUGAUUGCAGGCAUAGUGUUGACUCAGGUCAAGAAAGAGAAACAUAUUUCCCUGGCAGAGAUAAAUGAUGAAUGACUCCAACUGGAGCGCUGGAACAGUGGGAAGACUUUCUACAAGCCUUAGCAAGUGGAAAAAGCUGACGGCCAGUUCCAGUCAUUGUUAGCAUUCCUGUAGUGUUACACCACGCAUACACAUGCAUGCACAUGUCAACACACCUAUAUACAAUUAUUAUGCAUGACUGUAAGAGGUAAUAAUCAGUAUGCAUUUCACACGAUGUUUUUUGAUUUUUCAUUGCUAUUGGAGUGAGCAUUCUGACAACACAUAGUGCCUAUCGUAAAUGCAUUUCCACUAAUAUCUGCGAAGGUGUUUUUUCGCUGUGCACUGUUACAUUUUGCCUCCAAGUUUAUUUGUUAUCACAAAUCUAUACUGUCGUUGAUAAAGGUUGCUGCACCCAGCUAGACCAGUUGGUUUUCCAUUGACCGAAGAGAGCAUUCUUACAACACAUAGUGCCUAUCGUAGAUGUAUUUCCCCUGAAAUCUGUGAAGAAGUAUAUCCUCUGUGCACUGUUACAUUUUGCCUCCAAGUACGUUAGUUUGUCAUGAGAGGAAUCUGUACUUUUGUUGAUAAAAUAAUGUCACUGCACUCAGCUAGAACAGUUGAUUUCUAAUAAUUGAUAUCGGAGUGAGCAUUCUUGCAACACAUACUAAGUAGUGCCUAUAGUAGAUGCAUUUCCACUGAUAUCUGUGAAGGAGUAUUUUCGCCAUGCAUUAUUGCAUUUUACCUCCAAUUAAUUUGUAGUCACAAAUCUGUACUUUCGUUGAUUAAUGUCGCUGCACUCAGCUUGAACGCAGUUGGUUGUCCAUUGAUCGGAGAGAGCAUUCUUACAGCACAUAGUGCCUAUCGUAGAUGUAUUUCCACUGAAAUCUGUGAAGAAGUAUAUCCUCUGUGCGCUGUUACAUUUUGCCCCCGAGUAUGCUAGUUUGUCAUCAGGAAUCUGUACUUUUGUUGAUAAAAUAAUGUCGCUGCAUUCAGCUAGAACAGUUGAUUUCUAAUUGUUAUUGGAGUGAGCAUUCUUACAACACGUAGUGCCUAUCGUAGAUUACAUUUUGCGUCCAAGUAUGUUAUUUUGUAGUCACAAAUCUGUACUUUCGUUGAUUAAUGUCGCUGCGCUCAGCUAGAACGCAGUUGGUUGUCCAUUGAUCGGAGAGAGCAUUCUUACAGCACAUAGUGCCUAUCAUAGAUGUAUUUCCACUGAAAUCUGUGAAGAAGUAUAUCCUCUGUGCGCUGUUACAUCUUACCUCCGAGUAUGCUAGUUUGUCAUCAGGAAUCUGUACUUUUGUUGAUAAAAUAAUGUCACUGCAUGCAGCUAGAACAGUUGAUUUCUAAUUGAUAUUGGAGUGAGCAUUCUUACAACACGUAGUGGCUAUCGUAGAUGCAAUUCCACUGGUAUCUGUGAAGCAGUAAAUUCUCUUUGUACUUGUACAUUUAGCCUCCAAGUCU